Molecule: ribosomal RNA, 253 nt
Filed under: uncultured bacterium
Lineage: Bacteria
Description: partial 16S ribosomal RNA
Rfam family: Bacterial small subunit ribosomal RNA
Source: RNAcentral
UACGUAGGAUGCAAGCGUUGUCCGGAAUUAUUGGGCGUAAAGAGCGAGCAGGCGGUUUGGAAAGUUGGACGUGAAAUUUUAGGGCUUAACCCUAAAGGGUCGUCCAAAACUCCCAGACUAGAGUGCAGGAGAGGAAAGCGGAAUUCCCGGUGUAGUGGUGAAAUGCGUAGAUAUCAGGAGGAACACCGGUGGCGAAGGCGGUUCUCUGGGCAUUACCUGACGCUGAGGAGCGAAAGUGUGGGGAGCGAACAGG